GAGAGAUUUUAAAGGGGAUCUAGUGAAUGUCAUCAGCCUUUUCUUAAUGUCCAGGCCUUUUCUUCUCUGGGCUUGUUUGAGGCACCAAUGACAGGCUUUUGGAGCCUUCAUUUUGCCCUACAUUACAUAUUUGUCUCCUUACUCUCCAGAGAUUCAACUUACAAAUUACUAAAAUCUGUGUGUGGACACUUAGAAAAUACAAGUGUUGGUAACAGUCCCAAUCCAUCUUCUGCUGAAAACAGUUUCCGCGCAGACCGCCCUUCAUCUCUGCCUCUGGAUUUCAAUGAUGAAUUCUCAGAUCUGGAUGGAGUGGUUCAACAAAGAAGGCAAGACAUGGAAGGAUACAGCAGUUCUGGUUCUCAAACUCCUGAAUCUGAGAACUCUCGAGAUUUCCAUGUGACAGAAUCCCAAACAGUUCUGAAUGUCUCCAAGGGAGAAGCAAAGCCAACUCGGGCAGAUGCCCAUGUGAACAGAGUACCUGAAGGAAAAGCCAAGAGUCUGCCUGCGCAGGGUCUGUCAGAAACUGUUGGAAUCUUACAUAAAGUCAAGUCUCAGAAAUGUCCGAUGCUUCACCAUAU
Molecule: small RNA, 578 nt
Filed under: Pongo abelii (Sumatran orangutan)
Lineage: Eukaryota; Metazoa; Chordata; Mammalia; Primates; Hominidae
Description: processed transcript
Source: RNAcentral